GAGAGAUAGAAAGAGAAAGUGGUUGAAAAAAGAGAGAAAGAGACAGGCGGAGAGAGGAAGAAAGAAAGAGAGAAUCAGACGCAGAAAGAGAAACCGUCCGCCAGCAGAUAGUUUACAGCGAGCCCCCCUCUCCCUCCCCAGGAUCCUCCCGGACAAGGCCAACUAUUUGCUGGGAAAGAUCGCCGGCGUAACAGUCAUGAUGGACAACUUUGUCGGCAGGAGCAAGAGUCGCUAGGGAGUUUUCUUUUUUUGUUGUUCCAGAUAGAUCUUCAAAACAAUCACAAGACGAGCAUGAAUGAACUAAUGAACAAGAAUGAACAAGAAUGCACUAACGGGGCCAACGGAACAUCGUUGCAGGCAUCACUCUUAUUUUGACGUUCCGUUAGAUCGCUUAUUCUCAGCUGGAUAUACUUCGCCAUUAACCAACUUACUCCAAUUUGUAAAGGAAAGAAAACGGAUAUUUAUUAUAAAUGUAACAAGAAAAUACUUUUAUCAGUACUAUAUCACGCCAAAUGAAUUUCAUGAAAAGAUGUGUAUUGCUGAUGUACCCCUGGUUACAAUAAAUAUUUAUAAAAAAAAAAAAAAAAAAUCCAAAAGCAUUAUCAGCGCAUUCACUGCAAACUGAGUCAAUCAGUUUGCUAAUCUUAAAACAAGCGCAACUCAGCCUAUGUACGAUCUGCGUCCCAUAUCAGUUUAUUUUCAUCCUCUGUCAUAUAUUUUUCAUUUCAUCCCAAGGGGGGUAUAUAUCCCCCUAUCCGAGAAUCCCUGCUCUAGAUCUAAGUUUGUGCUUUGUCGCAUGCACACCAGAGCUCUCGAAACACAAAAUGCCGAAGCGGUCCAAUUUGAAGGGAUAUUUAUCUCGAAGUCCAGCCUCACUAGUUCUCGUAGUCUCGUAUCUUCCCCCAAACAUCGUGCUCUUUCCGUCUGAGAUACCAUGAACUCGCAUUUAGCAACUUCAAUCGCAACUGACUCUGCAUCUCCGUCAACUCCACUGCGAAUGUUUAGAAAUCUGAAUUACUCGCUGAUACUGCCAAUCAUUGCAAAUGCCGCCCUUUCAGCAGCUGGAAAUAAACCUUUAAUAAAGGAAUGACACGUAAA
Molecule: long non-coding RNA, 1098 nt
Filed under: Penaeus japonicus
Lineage: Eukaryota; Metazoa; Arthropoda; Malacostraca; Decapoda; Penaeidae
Description: uncharacterized LOC122251591
Source: RNAcentral